UAAAAGUUUUUAAGCUUUAAUUUAAUAUUAAAAAUUUAAUUUAAAUGUAAAUUUUAGUUGGAAUUAAGUUAUAUUUAGAUAAUAGAUUUAAUUGGAGUUACAAUAAAUAAUUUUAUAUAUUUGGUUAUUCAAGAUAUAGUAAUUUUUUAGAGUACAAACAAAAUUUGUGCCAGCAGUUGCGGUUACACAGAUUGUGCAAUUUUAAAUGGUUGGAAACAGUUAAAAUUUUUAUUAGACUAUAAGUUGGAUUUAUUAGGUGAAAUUUUAAAUUUAUAAAUGUCUAUAUUUUGAGGCUGGGAAAUUUAAUAACAAACUAGGAUUAGAUACCCUAUUAUAUAAAUGUAUGGUUUUAUUUCUAAUUAGUAUUAGUUAUGUUCUUGAAAAUUAAUAAAGUUGGCGGUAUUUUAGUCUGUUCAGAGGAACCUGUUCUGUAAUUGAUAUUCCACGAUUUGAUUUACUUGUUUUUUUAGUUUGCGUAUGGCUGUAGUUUGAAUAUAUUUGUUGAUUUAUAAUAUUCAGGAUUUGUAUAUAAAUUAAAUCAGGUCAAUAUGUAGUUUAUAGACAAGAAGAAAUGGGUUACUUUUAAUUUAUUAAUGGAUUUUGAAUUUUAAUGUUUAAUUGAAAAUGGAUUUGAUGGUAAAUUUAUUAAAUAAAUAAAUUGAUUAAAGCUCUAAAAUAUGCACAUAUCGCCCGUCGCUUUCACUUUAAAGUGAAAUAAGUCGUAACAUAGUAGAUGUACUGGAAAGUGUCUCUAGAAAGAA
Molecule: non-coding RNA, 761 nt
Filed under: Scolytinae sp. BMNH 1040002
Lineage: Eukaryota; Metazoa; Arthropoda; Insecta; Coleoptera; Curculionidae
Source: RNAcentral